Molecule: ribosomal RNA, 421 nt
Filed under: uncultured Bacteroides sp.
Lineage: Bacteria; Pseudomonadati; Bacteroidota; Bacteroidia; Bacteroidales; Bacteroidaceae
Description: bacterial SSU rRNA
Rfam family: Bacterial small subunit ribosomal RNA
Source: RNAcentral
GAGGAAUAUUGGUCAAUGGACGCAAGUCUGAACCAGCCACUUAGCGUGAAGGAAGACUGCCCUAUGGGUUGUAAACUUCUUUUAUAAGAGAAUAAAGUGCGUUACGUGUAACGCAUUGCAUGUAUCUUAUGAAUAAGGAUCGGCUAACUCCGUGCCAGCAGCCGCGGUAAUACGGAGGAUCCAAGCGUUAUCCGGAUUUAUUGGGUUUAAAGGGUGCGUAGGCGGACUGGUAAGUCAGCUGUGAAAGUUUGCGGCUUAACCGUAAAAUUGCAGUUGAUACUGUCAGUCUUGAGUGUGCAUGAGGUGGGCGGAAUUUGUGGUGUAGCGGUGAAAUGCUUAGAUAUCACGAGGAACUCCAAUUGCGAAGGCAGCUCACUGGGGCAUAACUGACGCUGAUGCACGAAGGUGUGGGUAUCAAACA